AACGUGUCGCGAUGGAUGACUUGGCUUCCUAUUUCGU
This 37-nucleotide ribosomal RNA is filed under the name Leishmania major. Its description in RNAcentral is "partial 5.8S ribosomal RNA". Lineage: Eukaryota; Euglenozoa; Kinetoplastea; Trypanosomatida; Trypanosomatidae. The record is from RNAcentral.